AUGAUACAGAUGGUCCUUGACUUACGAUAGGUUAUAUCCUGAUAAACUGAUCUUAAGUUAAAAAUAUCAUGUUAAAAAUGGAUUUAAGCCACAUGUAGUAACACGACACAUGCCUGUAAUCUCAAUGACUUGGGAGGCUAGGGCAGGAGGAUUGCAGAUUUAAAGCCAGCCUUGGCAACUUAAAGAGGCCUAAGCAACUUAUCAAGACCCUAUCUCAAAAGGUUAAAAAAAAAAAAACAUAAAAGGGCUGGGGAUGUGAAUCAGUGGUUCCCUGGAUUCAAUUCCUAGUACCAAAAAACAAAAAAGGACUUAUACUGGAAUAGCUCUUUUUCUCACUACCUUUAGAAUAAACCAACCCUGCCAACACCGUCAUUUCAGAUUUCUAGCCCCUAGAAUUGUGAAACAAUAUAUCUCUGGAAGCCACCCACUCUGUGGUACUUUGUCAUAGCAGCCUGAGCAAACUAUUUUGCAGGGCAUUUAUUUAUGUUCAGGACUUUGGGAGAUAAGGAACUUACAGAUUGGUUGCUUUCAAAUCUCUUGAAAUACAAGUUUAAUUAUAAUUAGUAAAGGAUUAUUACACAAAAAAUAACCCCUGAAUAUUCAGGAAGAAUUACUGUGUGCUUAGAAAAUUAACUGUAAUCUCUUUAAAAAAUAGAAAAUAGCUUACAAUCACAGUCAAAAAGAAAUUGUCCAUUAACUAAUAGAAAAGGUGCAACCUAAAUCACAUUCUUACUUAUAUGGUAACUCCAAAACUACCACAGGUUUGGGAUAUGUGUUUAUUUUAAAAUAAAAGCAAAUCUCAUCAAAUCAGUUUACAGAAAAUAUGGGGAAUAAAAGAACAAUACCACAUAGAAGCAAAAUGAGAAUGUGGGACUUUCUAUAAGACAAAUGGCAGGGUUUCAUCAAUAAAUAAGUGGCAAAGAACCAAAACAGGAUGAUGUUUUAAAGGAGAGCUAAGAGAUCAACCAAAUGUCAUGUUUAGAACACAUCUGAAUCAGUAAAAAAGGUAUUUUUGAGAAACAGGACAAAUCUAACAUAGACUUAGAUAACACUAAGGAAUAUUUUAUUACAUAAAAAAAUGAAUUCAUCAGACAACCUACUGAACAUUCUAGCUUAGCAACACAGUACACUGUAGAAGAUCAGUUGUUUGUCUUCAUGAUCACGUGGCUGAUUAGGAGCUGUUGCUGCCCAGCAUCACCAGAGGAUCCUACUAUAUAUCACUAGCCUAGAAAAGGAUCAUAUUCAAAAUUCAAAGUACGGGUUCUACUAAAUGCUUAUUGCUUUCCCACCAUCAUGAAGUCAAAAAAUCAUAUGUCAGGGACCAUCAGUGUAUGACAAAUACAUGAAAUAUCAUAAACCCCCCCAAAUAUGGUACCAAUUAUUCUUCCUUUAUAUAAACAAUUAUCCUUUAGAGAUUAAGAAUUAGAAAACCACAUUAUUACCAUUUCUGGUUCUAUCUAUACAUUCAAUUUCCUUUCCAGUAUCAUUUUGUUUCUGUCUAAAAAGUUAUAAACUUUGUGUGGGGGAGGGGACUGGAGAUUGAACUCAGGGGCCCUCAACCACUGAGCCACAUCCCCAGCCCUGUUUUGUAUUUUAUUUAGAGACAGGGUCUCACUGAGUUGCUUAUUGACUUGCUUUUGCUGAAGCUGGCUUUGAACUCUCAAUCCUCCUGCCUCUGCCUCUGGAGCCACUAGGAUUACAGGUGUGUGCCAUCUCGAUCUGCUAAGUUUUAACAUUUUUGUAACUCAGAUGUGCUGGCAAUAAAUCCUCACAUCUUUGUUAGUCUCAAAAAAUAUAUUUUUUAAAGAUAUUUUUCACUAAUUAUGGAAAUCUAGAUGGACAGUAUUUAUUUGUCU
RNAcentral lists this long non-coding RNA (1856 nucleotides) under Marmota monax (woodchuck). The record is from RNAcentral. Lineage: Eukaryota; Metazoa; Chordata; Mammalia; Rodentia; Sciuridae.